UUCGUCUCCCUCGCGGCCUAACAGCAUGGAUUGGAGCGGCCUUUCCUGGAGUCGGACCCGGAGCUUCAGCAGCAGGCGCAGCGUGAACUUUUCCAUUGAGGAAUGGGCGAACCCUUGCCGGGGGUCGCCAGAGAGAAGUGCUCCGAUCGCUGGCCUGGUGGGGCUGUGGUCUGCGGAGCUUCCAGCUGCGGGCGUGGAGUGGACUUACCAUCCGGUGUGGGAUUUGACUUUGAUGUGGGAUAAUGCUAGUGUACAGUCUGAGGAUUUCUAGUUUAAAGAUACAGCAUGAAAACAGGCCCUUCAGCCCACCAAGUCCACGCCGACCAGUGAUCCCCAUACACUAGUUUAAUCGUACACACUAAACACAAUUUACAAAGGCCAAUAAACCUUCAAACUGCAUGUCUUUGGGAUGUGGCAGGAAACCGGAGCACCUGGAGAAAACCCCCGCGAUCACAGGGAGAACGUGCAAACUCCACACAGACACCAAGAUCUACAUUCCCAGGUUGGAGGAGCUUUGCUGGGAGCCAUAAAAGCUAUACGAUGGGGGUGCUGGGACAAGAAGAAAUUGAAACUGUAUUGAAAAGAACAACCAAGUGUUGCUAAGAACAUGAACUGCUGUAAAGAUGAAAGAUCAUCGUCGCUGGAUACAUUUGAUUGACUGUGAACAGUUUGUGGAAACAAGGACGAUGGGCUAUUGAUGUUCCUUUAUUCUGGGGUGGCCCAGCCCACAUGGACUGAACUUUCGUCAGAAUGGCAAACUUGCGGACUAACCCACAUUUAAAGGAUGGUACACGCCUCCUUUUAAACAAGAUUUAAGUCAAACAUGACAAGUGCAGCAAAGAUACCCUGACUACAGACAGUAAGAGGUCUGCAAAGGCCAGUUAAAUCUACCUGUUUUUGCCACAACCAAGGCACUGGUGUAUUUUAAGGAAACAGUAUAUUUGUGACAGGGCAUUGUUAUGUUGCAAAUGCCGUGCCACACAAGAGAAGCAUGAACCAGUUACACCAGCACACAGGGAAAUCCAAAUGAAGCCGAAUAAAGGCUGAGCAAUUUUUAUGAACCUUUUCCUGUCCUAUGGUAGUAUAUUAUAGUGUCACGUCCGGGGGAGGUUGGUGGCCAUUUAAAAUGUUUGGAGGGACUUGUGGAACGAUUGUCUACUAUGAAUUGAUUGUGUUACUAGUGUACUAUUAAAUUGUCUGAUGAGAUGCUUAUGGUCUUUCGUAUGUACUCAGGAAGGACUGUAGUUGUUAUCAAAAUUUUGAUAAAAGGAUGGAAUGAUGAAGCCGAGUUUUAGUUAGAAAUAUAAGAAGAUAUUAAAUUGGUUUCUGGGCUAGCUUACAGCUUAUAUUUAGUGUCAAAUUAGGCUUUCCUCAGGUUGCGGGGGUGUGUGAGAUAACAUUGUCUCCCAAGUGAAGGAGCUAGAGAUAUCUUUGAAGUAGAGAUCAAAUGACCAAUGUUUAUGUUUAGGAGGCAAUAAAGGAAGAGCGGAAUAGCCAGUCACAUCUUUGUAAACAGAUGGCCUAUGUUUAGGAGGGACCAAGUGACAAGGGAACACCAGGAAAGUGGAGACCAAAUGACCAAUGUUUAUGGGGGAGGAGGUGAUAGAGGAAGAAAGACAUAGGUGGUCACAUCUUUGAAGCAAGAGGCAAUAAACCAGAUGUCCUAUGUUUAAGAGGGACCAAGUGACAAAAGAAAACCAGGGGAGUGGAAAUAAAAUGAUAAAGCAGAUGGUCAAUGUUUUUAGUAUAUCUUGUGCCAUGUAAACAAAAGGCCUUUGAUGUGAUGCAAUCUGUGGAAACCUUUUCCUGUACCUCUGACAUGAUUAAUGUCUGUGGAAGGUGUUAAGGGGAAAAAACCCUAUUUAAGGCAAUGUAAUUCUGUUGUUCAGGGAAGAGGACUGGGGACAGUUGAGUGUCUACAUUGGUCACUUAGCUGGAAUCCUCGCUCCCUUCCAUCGGCCGAUGUUAAGUAAAGUUUUGAACUGGUCUACCAAA
Long non-coding RNA from Leucoraja erinaceus (little skate), 1995 nucleotides. RefSeq lists it as uncharacterized. The record is from RefSeq and is a predicted model, not a curated record. The transcript has 2 exons. NCBI's taxonomy places the organism in Eukaryota, Metazoa, Chordata, Chondrichthyes, Rajiformes, Rajidae.